GUGGAGGAGAUCUACGACCUU
RNAcentral lists this unclassified non-coding RNA (21 nucleotides) under synthetic construct. The record is from RNAcentral.